This 1312-nucleotide unclassified non-coding RNA is filed under the name Hevea brasiliensis (rubber tree). Lineage: Eukaryota; Viridiplantae; Streptophyta; Magnoliopsida; Malpighiales; Euphorbiaceae. The record is from RNAcentral.
GGGGCAAAACUGAUUUGCUACAGAAACUUGGAAGAAGCAAUUGAUACAUGAAAACUUCAGUCGAUAUCUGAAGAAGCUAACGAACACUUUGUAAAGCUCACAAGUUAUAUUUACAGGUCCACGCGAUUACCAUAGAACUCCUGCAGAUGAAGUGAAGCUAUACUGAAACUUGAGAAUUGAUUUCAAACGUUUCUGCACCAAAACUCCAACUAACAACAAAGAAGAAUCUAUUGAGUGAAAAGGGGUUGAAUACUCCCAACGAAACAUUCCCUAGUAAGCUGUGUAACAAAAACUGUGACAAGAGUUAUGUCCCAAAAAUACGUCUGUGAACUGGUUGAGCAUCAAGAGUUUUAACCACUUGAAUCCAAGGUUUGUCUAUGAUCAAGGUGGAAGUUUUCGAAAGAUGUCCAACAAAUAAAACAGGAUCCCUGAAAGCACAGAAUUCAAAAUUCUUUCUACCGAUUUGUUUCAAAUCUAAGUCGUUCCCUUUCAACUUGCGCUUUAACGUCCCAUUUGCAGGAGAACUAUUAUGUAGCUUCUUUAAAGCUAAAUCUUGACUAUUAGCUAAAUCAGUGUCGUCGUCAUCACCAACUGGCAACCCAAAGUCAAUCAAGCACAUUGCCCUUGAACUGUAGACAAUGACAGAUGAUGAAUUAGUAGAAGGAGCAAAAGAAAGCCCAAUCACUUCUCCAGGAAAUUCUUGAAAUCUUCCCGGCAGAGAGAAUGUAUUCCGGUUGGACCAUUCUCCUAGUUGUUUUGCUUCAACAUCAAAGGCAUAUACCUGGUUCGAAGAUGUGGAUACUAUAAGCACAUUGCUAUUUCUAGGAGUAAAGCCACCAGCUGUAACGGGAGAACCAUUCAAUCUUGAUAUAAACCAAUGUUGCCUCUGUUUAUCUAGAUUAAAUAUAUACACAUCUCCAGAGCAGUUUACAGCACCUAACCAUUUCCCAUCUGCACUAGUGAACAUUCUCGUAACGGGAGGUUCAUUUGGUGGAAAUUCUUCGCGUUGAUCUUUAUGCCGAGGGGUAAAAACAUGAACUAGUUCCAAGCUUACUGCAUCAACCACAUAGAUCCUUCUGUCACACCCAGAUAUAAUCAUUCGAGAAGAAUCUGCACUGAAUUCAAUUGAAUGGGCAAAUGGAAGUCCCGAAGGGAGCUUCCUUUUGCUGACAGUCCAUGCACUCUUGCCAGCGCCACUCUUCUUAAGUUCAAAAAGGCAGGGUCUUACAUGGUCAGAAUAAGCAAACAGUACACCUGAAGGAGAAAUUGCACUGCAUGUGAUCUUCCUCGAAGUUUUGCACUUAACACGAGC